This 506-nucleotide ribosomal RNA is filed under the name uncultured bacterium. RNAcentral describes it as "partial 16S ribosomal RNA". It matches the Rfam family "Bacterial small subunit ribosomal RNA", at positions 29 to 523 of the family's 1533-position model. The record is from RNAcentral.
AGUGAACGCUGGCGGUAGGCCUAACACAUGCAAGUCGAACGGCAGCACAGGAGAGCUUGCUCUCUGGGUGGCGAGUGGCGGACGGGUAAGAAAUACAUCGGAAUCUACUCUGUCGUGGGGGAUAACGUAGGGAAACUUACGCCAAUACCGCAUACGACCUACGGGUGAAAGCAGGGGACCUUCGGGCCUUGCGCGAUUGAAUGAGCCGAUGUCGGAUUAGCUAGUUGGCGGGGUAAAGGCCCACCAAGGCGACGAUCCGUAGCUGGUCUGAGAGGAUGGUCAGCCACACGGGAACUGAGACACGGUCCAGACGCCUACGGAAGGCAGCAGUGGGGAAUAUUGGACAGUGGGCGCAAGCCUGAUCCAGCCAUACCGCGUGGGUGAAGAAGGCCUUCGGGUUGUAAAGCCCUUUUGUUGGGAAAGAAAUCCAGCUGGCUAAUACCCGGUUGGGAUGACGGUACCCAAAGAAUAAGCACCGGCUAACUUCGUGCCAGCCGCCGCCGUAA